AGUCACUGACAUUAGAUACCCCCGUAGUCCAGGGUGUAAACGCUGCAGACUUGGUGUUGGAAGCCCUUUGGGGGCAUUCAGUGCCGGAGAGAAGUUGUUAAGUCUGCUACUUGGGGAGUACGUCCGCAAGGAUGAAACUUAAAGGAAUUGGCGGGGGAGCACCGCAACGGGAGGAGCGUGCGGUUUAAUUGGAUUCAACACCGUAAAACUCACCAGGGAAGACUGUUACAUGAAGGCCGAGAUGAAGACUCUGCUAGAUUUUCAG
Molecule: ribosomal RNA, 265 nt
Filed under: uncultured archaeon
Lineage: Archaea
Description: partial 16S ribosomal RNA
Rfam family: Archaeal small subunit ribosomal RNA
Source: RNAcentral